Molecule: non-coding RNA, 1567 nt
Organism: Oncorhynchus mykiss (rainbow trout)
Lineage: Eukaryota; Metazoa; Chordata; Actinopteri; Salmoniformes; Salmonidae
Source: RefSeq, a predicted model, not a curated record
GGACUCAUUGACUCAAUAUGGCCUAACAGAGGAUAUUUGGAAUACAAAUACCUUACAUAAUCACAGACUACAAAAUCCUCUCCAUCUGGAGUUAAGGGGAGUCCAGGGUUUGUAACCUGACACCAGGUAGUCUGGGGGCCACAUUUACCCACUUCAACAACUGGGGUGUGAGAGCCGCUCUCUCAUUGGUGCUUUCUGAAAGUCCUCCUCUCCACAAAAAUACCAUCCAUAAUGCUUCCACUCUUUGUAAAACAACCUUUUCAUUGUGGAAGAAAAUAAACACAAUAGGCCUAGAUAAUGAGAUAGCAAACAUAAAGACAAGCAAUAACAGGGUUGGUAAGCCCUGUGUUGUUAUGGCAGUAAACAUUUAGUCCAGUCUGUCUCUGCAUGUAGAAUGUACACCUGUUUCCACCUGUUUUACAGUCACUCUGACCUUUGUACCACUCCAAAAGAUAAGAACAAUUAUUCUAUCAGUUUGUAUUUUUCUCUUGCAAGUUAUGCCCUUUUUACAUUUUCUUUGUACUGUAAUGUGACAACAGAUUGUAACACAAAAUAAGAAAUGUUUGUGAAAAAGUGAUAUUUACUUUUAUGAAAAACUACUGCUGGGAUGCAAGUAUUUGCCAUUGUUGUGACUAAUUAUCAAUGUCAGAAGUUGUAGUCCCAUUAACAUAAAUCAAUACUAAAAAUCAAUACUCAUAUAAACCAGAUAGUUGGAGCAGAGCAGGGUGGAGCUUGUUCUGCUUGACUACCAUUGCUGCACACAUUGUUGAAGUGAAAGGAACGUGGACAGCUUGAUCCUGCUUGUGGGAUGCACUGACAGGGGGGACUAGUGUGAAUGGAACGGAGCUGAAAGAAAGUUUCACAGAGCGGCUCAGUGAAAGGCAUGUGCAGAAUGUGACUGACUGGGCACUAGAAAAGACUGAGCUGUAAGAUGAAAGGGAUCCCGAGGAACGGUUAGGAGGAUGGUUGUGGUGGAAGAUAAGAACUGAGGAGAAAUCAAGAGAAUGGUGUCAAAACAAAGUCCUUUGGAAAUGGUGGAUCUCAAACACAACUAAAGGAAACUGACAGAGACCACUGGUAUUCCUGUGAGGCACAGCAGAGCAGGAAUACUGGCCAGAGGACACCGGUUAAGCUCAGGUGGUGGGUGCCACAAAAUACAGGGGAGAGGAACGCUAUUGGUUCCCCACCGUGGAAGAACAGACACCACAUUGAUACCAUAGAGGUGGCAAGUUGCAUUUGUGCUGGAGACAGAUGGGUCGAUAAGGGUACGGUAGUGGUGAUAACACCUUUGGGCUGAGCUGCUGUGCCGAUGGGAGAAGGAGGAGGAAGGAAACCGAAGUGGGCCUGGAGCCCAAUGAGAGACAGGAUGGCUGAGCAGAAAGUUAGCCUCCCUGCUAAGCUGAUUAAUGGGGGCGUGACAGGGCUGGUGGGUGUGAGCUGUGUGUUUCGUAAUGAUCGGGCCAAGACCCGCCUACAGAACCAGCAGGGUGCCCGAGUCCACACCGGAAUGAGACUGAAAAUAUUUGUCAUGGGUCCCCUGAUCCUCAAAAGUUUCUACAGCUGCACC